AGCGAACGCUGGCGGCAGGCCUAACACAUGCAAGUCGAGCGAACCUUUCGGGGUUAGUGGCGGACGGGUGAGUAACACGUGGGAACGUGCCUUUAGGUUCGGAAUAACUCAGGGAAACUUGUGCUAAUACCGAAUGUGCCCUUCGGGGGAAAGAUUAAUCGCCUUUAGAGCGGCCCGCGUCUGAUUAGCUAGUUGGUUGAGGUAAUGGCUCACCAAGGCGACGAUCAGUAGCUGGUCUGAGAGGAUGAUCAGCCACAUUGGGACUGAGACACGGCCCAAACUCCGGAGGGAGGCAGCAGUGGGGAAUCUUGCGCAAUGGGCGAAAGCCUGACGCAGCCAUGCCGCGUGAAUGAUGAAGGUCUUAGGAUUGUAAAAUUCUUUCACCGGGGACGAUAAUGACGGUACCCGGAGAAGAAGCCCCGGCUAACUUCGUG
This 434-nucleotide ribosomal RNA is filed under the name uncultured bacterium. RNAcentral describes it as "partial 16S ribosomal RNA". It matches the Rfam family "Bacterial small subunit ribosomal RNA", at positions 29 to 507 of the family's 1533-position model. The record is from RNAcentral.